Molecule: long non-coding RNA, 405 nt
Filed under: Bos taurus (domestic cattle)
Lineage: Eukaryota; Metazoa; Chordata; Mammalia; Artiodactyla; Bovidae
Description: long non-coding RNA NONBTAT000499
Source: RNAcentral
GUGAUGGCCAAAUACAGAGAACUCUAGGCUCUUCCAGCCACAUGUGGUGGGGAAGCCCACGGAAAUGGUGCGGGUCCACAGCAGGAGCUAUAGUUUGACCCUUGAACUGUGAUCUACUUCUUCUCUAUCAAUCUACCAUUGAGUCUUUGAAGAAAGAAUCUGUUUCCCACCAAAGAGGAAAUCUUAAUUUUUAAAAUAGAGACUCUUCCUAGAAAAACAAAAGAGGAUGAUAGCAGGUUUAAAAAAAUGAGCACCUCAAACUAGCUGCCCAGAACGCUUACAGUCAUGCCCUUACCUUUUUGAGCUGGGGUUGUUGUGGCAUUGGAGUGGCUCAUUUCUGGCAUUCAGGCUUUAUCCUCCCACCACCUUUCUUAGAAAAAUGAGGGAAGUGGCAUUUACAGGAGA